GUUCACACCUCGGCAGCACAAAUAAUAAAAUUAGAACAAUAUAGAGAUUAGCACGGCCCCUGCGCGAGAAAGACAUGCAGCUUUUUUUAAUGUUCUUCCUACUGUU
This is a small nuclear RNA of Bufo bufo (common toad), 106 nucleotides long. Lineage: Eukaryota; Metazoa; Chordata; Amphibia; Anura; Bufonidae. The record is from RefSeq and is a predicted model, not a curated record.